This 346-nucleotide transfer-messenger RNA is filed under the name Clostridia bacterium. It matches the Rfam family "transfer-messenger RNA". Rfam says of the family: Bacterial tmRNA, also known as 10Sa RNA or SsrA, is named for its dual tRNA and mRNA-like properties. Lineage: Bacteria; Bacillati; Bacillota; Clostridia. The record is from RNAcentral.
GGGGAUGUAAAGGUUUCGACAGGGAUUUUGAACUGCGAUAAGCAUGCAGCGUUACGGGAACGCUUUGAAAACCGAAUUUUUAAAAAUAACUGACAAAAAUACAGUUGCUUUUGCAGCUUAAUUAAGCUGCCGUUCUGUCCUUGAGUACCACGGCAAGGAACAGAGCGUCGAUUAGUGGUGAACGUGAACAGAUGUGUUCCUCGACACUGUCACGGAGAGAGGAUACCGAGCGCCAAAGCCCGUUUGUCGGCGUUGGUGUAAGGGAAUCUCAAUUGGCAAAAUAAGCAUGUAGAAGGUUGCAGGAAUAGGUUUUUGGACGCGGGUUCGAUUCCCGCCAUCUCCACCA